This 253-nucleotide ribosomal RNA is filed under the name uncultured bacterium. RNAcentral describes it as "partial 16S ribosomal RNA". It matches the Rfam family "Bacterial small subunit ribosomal RNA", at positions 524 to 776 of the family's 1533-position model. The record is from RNAcentral.
UACGUAGGGUGCAAGCGUUAUCCGGAAUUAUUGGGCGUAAAGAGCUCGUAGGCGGUUUGUCGCGUCUGCUGUGAAAACUGGAGGCUCAACCUCCAGCCUGCAGUGGGUACGGGCAAACUAGAGUGCGGUAGGGGAGAUUGGAAUUCCUGGUGUAACGGUGAAAUGCGCAGAUAUCAGGAGGAACACCAAUGGCGAAGGCAGCACUCUGGGACGGUACUGACGCUGAGACGCGAAAGCGUGGGGAGCAAACAGG